GUAGGGAAUAUUGGUCAAUGGGCGAGAGCCUGAACCAGCCAUGCCGCGUGAAGGAAGAAGGCGUUCUGCGUUGUAAACUUCUUUUAUCAGGGAAGAAAACGUCCAUGCGUGGAUAAUUGCCGGUACCUGAUGAAUAAGCACCGGCUAACUCCGUGCCAGCAGCCGCGGUAAUACGGAGGGUGCAAGCGUUGUCCGGAUUUAUUGGGUUUAAAGGGUGCGUAGGCGGCUGAUUAAGUCAGUGGUGAAAGCCGGUAGCUUAACUAUCGAAUUGCCAUUGAUACUGGUUAGCUUGAGUACAGAUGAGGUAGGCGGAAUUUAUGGUGUAGCGGUGAAAUGCAUAGAUACCAUAAAGAACUCCGAUAGCGAAGGCAGCUUACUAAACUGUAACUGACGCUGAGGCACGAAAGCAUGGGGAGCAAACAGGAUUAGAAACCCUAGUAGUCC
RNAcentral lists this ribosomal RNA (444 nucleotides) under uncultured bacterium. Its description in RNAcentral is "bacterial SSU rRNA". It matches the Rfam family "Bacterial small subunit ribosomal RNA", at positions 354 to 796 of the family's 1533-position model. The record is from RNAcentral.